This 408-nucleotide long non-coding RNA is filed under the name Olea europaea (common olive). RNAcentral's name for it is "long non-coding RNA (OEUR_LNC010372)". The record is from RNAcentral. Lineage: Eukaryota; Viridiplantae; Streptophyta; Magnoliopsida; Lamiales; Oleaceae.
UAUUAGUUGGUGAGUCGGUGUCUUGCAAUUUUCCUUUUUAUAUUCUUGUCGUACAACCCUCAAUUUACCGUCAAUCGCCAUUAUCGUCGUGACUCUGACUUCCUACCUUCUAGAUCCCCACAAAUCCAAUAUCAGAACUCCAACUGACCCAUUCAUUCAUCAUUUCCUUAAAUCACUGAAUUCCAAAGCUGAAACCUUCGGUCUUGCCAUAAGGUGAACCCACAAAAUUCCAGACCAAUAGCACAAAAGUCCACUUUCCCUCUUACUCCCUAUAAAUUAUUUCCUAUUUCACACUCCCAAUUGCAGAUCCUCUCGUUUCUCCCAUGUUAGAUGCCUCCCAUUUUGUCCCACUUUUGUCAUGUGACCUGUUCUACCAGUGUCAUGUGUUAACUUUGCGAACUUCGUGAA